GUGGGGAAUAUUGGACAAUGGGCGAAAGCCUGAUCCAGCCAUGCCGCGUGUGUGAAGAAGGUCUUCGGAUUGUAAAGCACUUUAAGUUGGGAGGAAGGGCAGUAAGUUAAUACCUUGCUGUUUUGACGUUACCGACAGAAUAAGCACCGGCUAACUUCGUGCCAGCAGCCGCGGUAAUACGAAGGGUGCAAGCGUUAAUCGGAAUUACUGGGCGUAAAGCGCGCGUAAGUGGUUUUGUAAGUUGGAGGUGAAAUCCCCGGGCUCAACCUGGGAACUGCCUCAAAAACUGCAUGACUAGAGUACGGUAGAGGGUAGUGGAAUUUCCUGUGUAGCGGUGAAAUGCGUAGAUAUAGGAAGGAACACCAGUGGCGAAGGCGACUACCUGGACUGAUACUGACACUGAGGUGCGAAAGCGUGGGGAGCAAACAGGAUUAGAAACCCUGGUAGUCC
Molecule: ribosomal RNA, 450 nt
Filed under: uncultured bacterium
Lineage: Bacteria
Description: partial 16S ribosomal RNA
Rfam family: Bacterial small subunit ribosomal RNA
Source: RNAcentral